RNAcentral lists this ribosomal RNA (301 nucleotides) under uncultured bacterium. RNAcentral describes it as "partial 16S ribosomal RNA". It matches the Rfam family "Bacterial small subunit ribosomal RNA", at positions 509 to 807 of the family's 1533-position model. The record is from RNAcentral.
CAGCCGCCGCGGGAAUACGAAGGGUGCAAGCGUUACUCGGAAUUACUGGGCGUAAAGCGUGCGUAGGUGGUUGUUUAAGUCUGCUGUGAAAGCCCUGGGCUCAACCUGGGAAUUGCAGUGGAUACUGGGCAACUAGAGUAAGGUAGAGGAUAGUGGAAUUUCCGGUGUAGCGGUGAAAUGCGUUGAGAUCGGAAAGAACACCAACGGCGAAAGCACUCUGCUGGGCCGACACUGACACUGAGAGACGAAAGCUAGGGGAGCAAAUGGGAUUAGAUACCCCGGUAGUCCCUGUCUCUUAUAC